This 345-nucleotide unclassified non-coding RNA is filed under the name soil metagenome. RNAcentral's name for it is "partial contains 5.8S ribosomal RNA, internal transcribed spacer 2, and large subunit ribosomal RNA". The stretch from base 1 to 119 matches the Rfam family "5.8S ribosomal RNA", at positions 35 to 154 of the family's 154-position model. The record is from RNAcentral.
GAUGAAGAACGUAGCGAAAUGCGAUACGUAAUGUGAAUUGCAAAUUCAGUGAAUCAUCGAGUCUUUGAACGCACAUUGCGCCCUCUGGUAUUCCGGGGGGCAUGCCUGUCCGAGCGUCAUUGCUGCCCUCAAGCACGGCUUGUGUGUUGGGCCCCGUCCUCCGAUCCCGGGGGACGGGCCCGAAAGGCAGCGGCGGCACCGCGUCCGGUCCUCGAGCGUAUGGGGCUUUGUCACCCGCUCUGUAGGCCCGGCCGGCGCUUGCCGAUCAACCCAAAUUUUUAUCCAGGUUGACCUCGGAUCAGGUAGGGAUACCCGCUGAACUUAAGCAUAUCAAUAAGCGGAGGA